GUCCUUGGAGCCUGCAGAUCUGAAAGCGUGUGAGGCUCGACACUCGGCCCUUCCAUGGUUCCCUUUUCCCCCGCAGACACCUGUGAUUCUGGGGCCCAAUCGAAAGCUGACUUUGCACAGUUCAUGGGAAAACCUCUUGAGCCUCCUCCAGGUGACAAAGUCUUAACUUUGACAACAAAAGCAUCAGUUCCCAGCCUGGCCCGUCCCCUCCCUGCUGCCUCACCAGUGUAUGAGGAAAAUCAGAAGGCCUUGGGAGGGACCCUACCUGGCGAUGGCAGUGAGCCCUCAGAAGCCUCUCUCUUGGGACACGAGGGCAGGCUGCCUUCUCCAACCUUCACAUUCAGCCUCUCAGAGAGGAAAGGUCAGAGUGGGACCGUCGUGGGGACCGAGCAAGGCCGUCUAGAGCUGAGUUCAGGGUGCCCAGUGGCCAGGAAUGAGCCUCAGGAAGAGAGUUGGGGGGGCCUCAACAGAGCCCUGCCACGGGGUGGCAACACUGGAGGGGGAGUCAGGGUCCCAGUCUUGGAGCCAGGUCAGGGGAAUAGGAGACACCCUCAGGACCAAACCCCUCCAGGCCCUGCCAGAAAAGGAAGAGGUUUUUCACAACAGCCCUUUCAGAAAAAUGUUGAGAUGCCUCCUGCCCUGCCUGAGGCCCAACAAUGACUAAGUGCCAGAGGAUCUCCUUGCAAGGGCAAGCCCGUGUCAGCCGCCGCCCAGAGCCAGGCAUGGGUCACACACAGCUUGGCGUCGGAUGGCAGGGCUGUUCAGGCGCCAUCGACAGUGACAUCCUUUGUCCGGGUCCUGGGAGAGAAACUGAGGCUUGCCGAGAACUCCUGGCCUCCCAGUCGAAGCAUCACAAAAACCAUUUCAGGCCUGGGAAGCUGGACAUACCUGUUACCACGACGUUCCCUCCUCCCCAGAGCAGAGAAGAACAAUGACAGAUGACAGUCCCCAACAUAUCUCCAGGGACCACAACUGUCUGAAUACAAGGGAGUGGAUCAGAACAGGCAUGGCCACUGGACCUUGCCAUCCAGGCUGCCGCGGUCCCCAGCCAAACCUUGCCAGCCUGUGCUGAGGGUGCCAGCUGCCUCAGCCAAUCCAUUACCCGCCAUGCUGUCUUCAGAUAUGUGUCUCCUGGGAUGAGUAGACUGUGCCUGACACACCUUUCCUCAUAGGAAUGCUUAUGUCCCCAAACAGGGAAGUGGAGGAAGAGAAAACCUUGUUUUUCUCCUGAGUCCAUCCUCUGUGCUAAUGGCGUCUUCCAACCCCAAUUUUCCC
This 1275-nucleotide long non-coding RNA is filed under the name Equus caballus (horse). RNAcentral describes it as "lncRNA (ENSECAG00000057563.1)". Lineage: Eukaryota; Metazoa; Chordata; Mammalia; Perissodactyla; Equidae. The record is from RNAcentral.